RNAcentral lists this unclassified non-coding RNA (3006 nucleotides) under Leishmania donovani. RNAcentral describes it as "gene:LdHU3.34.6640(CDS-product:Cyclic_nucleotide-binding_domain_containing_protein_putative)". The record is from RNAcentral. Lineage: Eukaryota; Euglenozoa; Kinetoplastea; Trypanosomatida; Trypanosomatidae.
UCAUCUCAUAGCGACCAGCAAAACACAACCAAAGCAACCAGUGCCCGCCCCCUCCCGUUCUCCUGUGUGUCCUCUGCGACUCUCUGUAUCGUUUACCUUUUCCUGCGGCCAUUUUUUUUUUGCAUCUCUCUGUCCAGCUGCCACCACCAGGGCAAGCUCUUUCUCUGUCGCUGUCCCCCCCCUCCCACACACACACAAACGCACACUCUUCUCCUCACCGUCACCAUGAACACUUCUGCGACCGAAGCUAGUGCCAUCCAGCAGCUGGCGAAGAAACCCACAGACAUCGCCGCGCACUACUCUGCCGAAACGUGCAACCUGGACUACGAUACCAAUGACCCCGAGAGAGGCGACCUGGACGAAGUGCUGUUUUUCGCAGAGCCGCUGAAGGAAGCGCAGAACCUUCUGCCCAACGGUAAGUCACCACCGAAAUCCCCCAAAACGUCGAUGCAGACCUUCCUUCAGACUGUGCCGCACCUCUUCACCCUCACGCUUGAGGAGAUAUCCAGCCUUGACGUCAUGGUGCGCGAGUACAGCGAGAUGGAUGUCAUUAUCGAGGAAGGGGCGUAUCUGGAGCACAUCUACGUGCUCGCCUCUGGCACUGUUGAAGUGAUGAACUCCAAGAAGGGUCUCAAGCGUGCGUUUGGCCACCGGCGCAUCGGUAGCAUGGUAGCGCCAAGCGUGUUCGGCAUCGACGACGCCAUCCUCGAGAACGCCGUCGAGUUCACCUACCACGCCAGCUCCAACACGACGCUGCUGCUCAUCCCACGCAAGCAGUUCAUGGACCUCUUUGCGCGCUCCCCUAUCUUUGCAAACAACGUCUCCAGCCAAAUCCUUCGCACGCUUCCCUCCUUCUCGGUGUUUCAGGAAUUCUGCCGCGCUGUGUUUGGCAUCUCAUCCUCAUCGGCAUCCGACGCACAAGGGAGGAGGAGUGGCUAUUGCUUGUCGCUGCCUAUUCUCAUCCGGCUUUUCCGAUCUAGCGGCACCCUCCUGCACAAACACGCCAACAGGAAGGAGGUAGACUGCGAGGCGCUGCGGUACUGCACCCGCCGCCUGCCCGUGAACAUCACGGUUACCUACGUCAUCAUCCUCACCCAAGGGGUUCCGGACUACCUCUCGGACGAGUUCCUUGCCGACGCCGCAAACCGGCAGCCCGGCGCCACGCCGUUUAUCGCUGCCGUCGACACCGGGAAGCGGCGACGCUGCGCGUGGACGUUUGGUGGCGGAGGACAGACGCUUGUACUCAUGCGUGACGGCUUCACCGACACGAUCGACUUUGUGUCCAACUUGUGCAUUUUCUGCAUUGAGGCGAAGAAGUUGCGAGCGCGGCUGCAGCAGCUGGUGUCGCCAUCGGCGGCCGAGGUGCUGCGAAACGCCCUCGCGCCCGCCGAGAACAACCUCAGCGCCCAUGCGCACAUGCAAGAGGUUCUCGCGUCGCUACCCUUCUCGGAUGACGAGUUACGGGGUCUCGAGAACGUCUGGGGCGAGGAGACGCUGCAGCAACUGUACAACAUCGUCGUGCACAGGGAGGAGUACGUGGUGCAGGUCGAGAGCGUCAGUAGCAAGGUGUUCAGUGAGAAUCCGUACGCGAACUGGGCCCUCACUAUCGUUCGGCACAUCAAGAGCCGCCUCUGCGUUUCUGAGGUGGAGCCAUUGCCGGAGGACAUCAUCAUCGACGUUCUCUUCUCUCCAAAUCGGACGCUUAAGAACCUCUUUUGUUGCAUGUCGGCGGACAUCAAGGCGCUCAUCGAGAACAUAUCGGAGGAGUCCGGAAGCGGAAAGGGCGAACGUGCCGGCAACUGGAAGAACGCGAACGACCGCUACUACUACCUCUUGACAGGCUUGCUGGAACGCAAUGCGAUGAUUCGCGACGCGUACCGGUCGCGGCUGCAGUCAAACGGCUUCACGCUCAUGGAGGACGGGCACGCGUCGGCGCUGAUUGUCGACCUGAUCGACGUCAGCAACAUAUCACCCGACGAGACAGACCCGGGUCUGCGUGCCUGCGCCGCGCAGGCGAGCAAGAAGAGCAGAGAGGGAAAGCGGCACUUCAUCAUCAACGUGGACAAGACGUUUGGGGCUCAAAUCGAGGCCAUCUUGCGCUCUCUUCUUCUCACCUUCGGUAGCCGCAUCCAGAGCGUGAACCUCAGCGGCAAGGCUGCUGGUCUCACCGGCAACCGGGGAGACCUGGUUCUCCCGAAGAAGCUCAUCUUCUCCAAGCAAACCUUCGGCGAAGACUCGACUGAUGAGAUUCGCUUGUGCAACCGCAAGAGCUUCCUACGGGAGGACAUUACACCGCUUCUUGACAAGUCGUGCUCCGCACAGGUGCACCAUGGCACGUGCAUCACCCUCCCUGGUUUCAUGCUUCAGAGUCAGCCGGUGCUUAAGUUCUACAAGACCGUGCACGGCUGCACUGCCGUUGAUAUGCAGAGCAGCUACGUAGCACGUCAGUUGGAGGAGUGUCGCCGCAACGGGGUGCUCCGCCAGACCAUUCCCAGUCGCUACCUCUUCUACUGCGACGACAUGCCCCUCGGCAACGAGAACGGCUUGGUGCUCAAACCACAAAAAAGGGAGAUCAUCUCCACCAUCUACGCCACUGCUCGCGCGCUCCUGCGCAAGAUUCUCGAGUCUUGAUCAGCGGCGGCGCGUUCGCCGCCUCCGGCGAUGCAUGGGGGUGGGUAGAUGAUCGUUUGCCUGUUUGUGUCCUGGAAAGGUUGCGACAAAAGUCGAAGGAGGAAUGGUCGGUCGCAAAAACUGAUGAGAGGUCGGAGCUAAGGUCUGUUCUGUUAUUCCACCUCUCUCCCCCUCCACCAAAAAAAAAAAACUAGAGCACCGUUUUCUUUGAUCCGGCUUUGUUCAUUCUUGUCUCAUCUCGAGACAUCGAGUGAUCGCAAGCGUUUUAUUUUGUCUCCACCACCCCACCUUCUGCAUCCUUUGUCAGGGCACGAAUCCCUUUAAGGUGCAGGAAGGAGAGACACGAAGCCCAGGGGCCCGCGGGUAGUACUAUCG